GUGAAGCGGCAACAGCUCAAAUUUGAAAUCUGGAGUUUUUAACUUCCGAGUUGUAAUUUGAAGAGGAUGCUUCGGUUAUGACCCCGGCCUAAGUUCCUUGGAACAGGACGUCGCAGAGGGUGAGAAUCCCGUACGCGGCUGGCGGUUUAUUUCCAUGUGUAGCUCCUUCGAAGAGUCGAGUUGUUUGGGAAUGCAGCUCUAAAUGGGUGGUAAAUUUCAUCUAAAGCUAAAUACUGGCGAGAGACCGAUAGCGCACAAGUAGAGUGAUCGAAAGAUGAAAAGCACUUUGAAAAGAGAGUUAAACAGUACGUGAAAUUGUUGAAAGGGAAGCGCUUGCAAUCAGACUUGCUUGCGGUUGAUCAACGUUCCUUUUGGUUCGUGCACUCUGCCGUUUGCAGGCCAGCAUCGGUUAGGACGGUGGGACAAAGGCUCCGGGAAUGUGGCUCCCUUCGGGGAGUGUUAUAGCCCGGUGCGUAAUGCCACCUGACCUGAUCGAGGACCGCGCUUCGUGCUAGGAUGCUGGCUUAAUGGUUGUAAGCGACCCGUCUUGAAACACGGACCAAGGAGUCUAACAUCUAUGCGAGUGUUUGGGUGUCAAACCCAUACGCGUAAUGAAAGUGAACGGAGGUGGGAGUCUUCGGAUGCACCAUCGACCGAUCCUGAUGUUCUCGGAUGGAUUUGAGUAGGAGCAUAGCUGUUGGGACCCGAAAGAUGGUGAACUAUGCCUGAAUAGGGUGAAGCCAGAGGAAACUCUGGUGGAGGCUCGCAGCGGUUCUGACGUGCAAAUCGAUCGUCAAAUUUGGGUAUAGGGGCGAAAGACUAAUCGAA
This 828-nucleotide ribosomal RNA is filed under the name Orbilia lentiformis. Its description in RNAcentral is "LSU rRNA". It matches the Rfam family "Eukaryotic large subunit ribosomal RNA", at positions 93 to 939 of the family's 3401-position model. The record is from RNAcentral. Lineage: Eukaryota; Fungi; Ascomycota; Orbiliomycetes; Orbiliales; Orbiliaceae.